This 569-nucleotide ribosomal RNA is filed under the name uncultured bacterium. Its description in RNAcentral is "bacterial SSU rRNA". It matches the Rfam family "Bacterial small subunit ribosomal RNA", at positions 337 to 917 of the family's 1533-position model. The record is from RNAcentral.
UCCUACGGGAGGCAGCAGCAAGGAAUUUUCGUCAAUGGGCGCAAGCCUGAACGAGCAACGCCGCGUGGUGGAUGACGGCCUUCGGGUUGUAAACACCUUUUGGGGGGGAAGAGUUUGACGGUACCCCUUGAAUAAGGCUCGGCUAACUCUGUGCCAGCAGCCGCGGUAAGACAGAGGAGCCAAGCGUUGUCCGGAUUGACUGGGCGUAAAGCGCACGCAGGCGGGUGCGCGCGUGGGGUGUGAAACCUGGCCGCUUAACGGCCAGCGGCCAUCCCAUACGGCGUGCCUGGAGCCUUGCAGAGGGCGGUGGAAUUGCCGGUGUAGUGGUGAAAUGCGUAGAGAUCGGCAGGAACACCCAGGGGGAAACCAGCCGCCUGGGCAAGCGCUGACGCUGAGGUGCGAGAGCGUGGGGAGCGAACCGGAUUAGAUACCCGGGUAGUCCACGCGGUAAACGAUGGCCACUCGGCCUCUGCGAGCGGAUCUUCCGCUGGUGGGGGCCUCAGCUAACGCGGUAAGUGGCCCGCCUGGGAACUACGAGCGCAAGCUUAAAACUCAAAGGAAUUGACGGA